This is a long non-coding RNA of Oncorhynchus tshawytscha (Chinook salmon), 5981 nucleotides long. NCBI's taxonomy places the organism in Eukaryota, Metazoa, Chordata, Actinopteri, Salmoniformes, Salmonidae. The record is from Ensembl.
CUUGCUGUCCCCAGUCCACCUGGUCGUGCUGCUGCUCCAGUUUGAACUGUUCUGCCUGUGGCUAUGGAACCCUGACCUGUUCACCGGACGUGCUACCUGUUCCAGACCUGCUGUUUUCAACUCUCUAGAGACACCAAGAGCGGUAGAGAUACUCUGAAUGAUCGGCUAUGAAAAGCCAACUGACAUUUACGCCUGAGGUGCUGACCGGCACCCUCUACAACCACUGUGAUUAUUAUUAUUUGACCCUACUGGUCAUUUAUGAAUAUUUGAACAUCUUGGCCAUGUUCUGUUAUAAUCUCCACUCAGCACAGCCAGAAGAGGACUGGCCACCCCUCAGCCUGGUUCCUCUCUAGGUUUCUUCCUAGGUUCUGGCCUUUUUAGGGAGUUUUUCUUAGCCACCGUGCUUCUACACCUGCAUUGCUUGCUGUUUGGGGUUUUAGGCUGGGUUUCUGUACAGCACUUUGUGACAUCAGCUGAUGUAAGAAGGGCUUUAUAAAUUAAUUUGAUUGAUUGAAACUCUUUUCUUUUGGGGGAACUAUCAUUUUCAAAUGUGUUCUAUUUUAGUCCAUGAUAUUGUUACAAAAUAGAUGUGUUGACUGAUUAGGGUAUGGGAAUAUAAGAGCAUCUGCUAGGCUAAAUUAAACUAGGCAUGCACAGCGCACCACAUGAUCCUCAAACCAAAGACUGGCCAAACUCGUGCUUCUAAAAGUGAAUUCAAAAAGGUGUUUUUCAGUUCAUUCUGAUCAGAAUGAGUUGUUCCCCACACAAGGGCUUUCUUACAGACAGAAAUACCCUCCCCCUCAUCAGAUUUGGAGGUCCUGGGCUACAUUUUUUUGUAGGUAUGGGAUCUUUUAUUUCAACUCAAGAAAAAUGGGACCAGUGUUUUAUUUUUGUUCAGUGUAGCAUAAAACAUUGCGUAUGUCAUUAUAGAUCGCUUUAUAUAAUCAGGUCCAUUUUAAUUUAUUUUGAAAUCUUAAAUUAUCAAGAUGUAGGCCUAUGCUUUUAGUCAUUUUCUUCAACUAAAGCAACAUCACCCUCACAUAACUCCUCAAUUCAAGACCUGUUUUGACCUUAACACAGCAAGCUCUUCACUUACACAGAUAUUUAAGGAGUGCAUGGUCACUGAAGUGAUUGGCUGACAAUCUAUGGAUGGUAGACUAUAAAUUCAUCUGUCAAACAGGUAGGCCUACCUGUUAUUUCUUGAAUAUGAAUAGGUUCUUAAACAAAGCACUCUUGUUAGUAUUCUAAAGUCAAAUUAAAAUGAAGACUUUAAAUGAAUUAGGUCUUCUUAUAUUUACCUACUACCCAUGCGCUGUCCAUCUCCGCAGCUGCAAAGUAAUGUAUGUAAAUUACUCAGGGCUUUUUGAGGUCAAUAACUCUGAUAAAUAGCUUCAUUAUGGGCAACUAAACCAAUGUUUAUAUUAAAAUGAAUUAUAAUGAGGUCAUCCUCUUCACGCUCUCCCUUUCAAACGGAAUAGGACAUCAGUAGGUCUAGUCCGCGUGAACAGAUAUGGCAUUUUUUAAAAUAUAUAUAUUGACUGGCCUCCUGAAGUGCCACCGUACACAGCACAGUCAUUGGUUAGGCAGCCGCAGCACAAAGGGGUUUACUUCAGCAAGAGCAUUGCAGGAUGGGCCUCUUGAUUGGGAACGCCUAUCCAUUGCAGUGUGUAAUGCAGUGUAGCCUAGUUUUAUAUUCACCAUCUCAGCAGCGCAAAAACUUGGGAUGGAAGUUCAUUAUUUUAGGAACAUAGCUUUGCCCUGUGCUCUUCGUGUAGCCUAGGCCUAUAGUAUAGACCAGCCUUUCCCAAACUAUUUUGUGCCAGGGAGACCCCAGAGGGUUUUUUAUAUUUGUAUUUUGUUGCAGCAAGAGAGAAGCUGGUCUCACAUAAGUAGGUAGAAUGAAAGGGGAUUCACUUCAACUCUGUCAUAUCGCGUUUGCUGCUGAACAGUCAGAAUGUGAACAGGCGCAUCUCAUUAAAACGAGAGCGCAGGCCUUGGUCACAGGACAGCUCCAAUAGUUUAUCAUCAAUAACUGAUGACAAGCUGUGAGUCUCUUCAGUGCUGGUGAACGGAUUACGUAUCCACUGCUUUCCCAGGCGUGGAUCAGAUUGCGAGGGGAAGUAAUCUUCGAAUUUGAGCAGAGUUUUGCUCAGAUGUGACCCCAACAAUUUAUGUAUGUGAUCCAUGUCUACAUAACCCACGUCAGUCAGAGUUUAGAAUAGAGGGGACAUAUCAAAAAAUGCCUCUAUCCACUCGGUCUCUCCAGACACCCAGUUUUUUCUUGAAAUCGGCAAUUCUAUCGUUUGCUUGGAAAAUGUCACUUUAGCGUCCCUGCAUGGCUAGGUUGAGCAGCAGUCUUGUCUAUAGGCCUGCAGUUCCCGAUACAACAGUCCCAUCGUAAUCCAUGUCCGUAUGUACUCGUUCAGGACACGCAGUUGUAUUCUGAGGCAACUCUUUGCCAGGUCAUUUUCAUAUGUGGCAAAUAUAUACAAAAAGCGGAAUUUGAAAUGUCAGUCUUCUUGUGAACUACAAUUCUGACGCUGUGUUUUAACGUUUAUAAACAUCCAAUAAUCAUCAGUGAUGAGUGACUAUGACUGCCAGUAAAACAGAUGAGGAUGGAACUGGGCCAGUGGAGCAGGCUCUGUCUCAGGUACAGUAAACCAAACGCACACACACUGAACAGCCAAUCCCAGCACACUAGUCAUUAUCUCUGAGUGUACAUUGCAUCUGUGUGGUGCAUUUGUGCAUGUUUUUCAUGUGCUCAUGUGAGUGUUUUCCUGUGUGUGUGUUCCACAGGACACAUCAGUGAUGACAGUGUCUCAGUGUGUUCUGGCUCUGUGGAUGCUGUUUCCUACCUGACCCUACACCAGAGGAGGAGCAGGGGCUGAUGAGCAUGCCCAAGACCAUGAUGGGAACAAUUUUAACCUGAGGAGGUGGUACAGGAUCAUGCAGUCUUCCCUGACCACAGACAGAGACAGCAGGACAACAUAGCCAGACUCUUUUCCCUCACCCUCCCUCUCCCCAUCUUCCCUCACCUUCUCCCACUAACCACACAUUUCCCUCACGCUCCUUCUCACCAUCAUCCCUCACACCACACUCUAUUCCCUCACCCUCCCUCUCCCUUUUCCCCCUCACCCUCUCCCACUAACCACGCUCUUCCCUCACCCUCCCUCUCCCCCUCUCCCACUAACACUCCCCCCCCAUCCUCACCUUCCCCAGGUGUUGCGGAGCAGCUACAGAUGAGUUUCCAGUAGCUGUUUGGUUCCCCUGCGGCCCCUACAUCCUCCGGGCCCAGCCUGCACCACCAAACCGUGGAGAGCAACCCUCCAGCCCUCCAACCUAAAAUACUGGCACCCAGCCCUGAGGGCCUGCAAGCCCAGGUUCUGUAAGAACCACUAUGCGGAGAUGGAGGCCACUCUCCUCAGGAUGUACGAAUGGCUACUGGACCGGUUCUCCUUCUUCCUGGGGGUGAAACCUGACUGUGUGUAUGAAGAAGUACUGAAGGUGGAGAGGCAUUUCCUCAGGAGCAGCAAGCCCUGGGCUAGAGCUUUAACUACGCCCACAAAGACACAGCCCAGAAAACAGCCCAACGGCAAACAAACCAGAAAAACAACUUUGUUCUCUAGGCAGCUAAAGAGAGUGACUUCAUCGGGACCAACUACUAUGGAUAGUUACUGUGCCAUAAUGCCAUGCUGACGGAUUACUUUCAUUUUUGUCUCGAUGUAACAUGAUUGUUUGCCUUUUUGUACAAAUUGCCUGUGGAUUACAAUGUGAUUACGAUGUGAUAUGAUGUUUAUGAACAUGCUGUACUUUCAGUUAUAUUAAACUAUAUUUUCUGUUAUUACAAUGAUAUACGUGAACCUUUGUCCCAGCUAUGAAUCGAGGUUCAUAAAAAUCAGACAUUUAUGCACAUACGGCUAUGCAACUCUGUUAAUUAAGGAAUACCAGACAUUUUAGGCUAAGACUACAGGCUGUCAAUUUGCGUGUUACUUUAGUUUUGAGUGUGAUGGACAGGUAAUGGGUGUUACCUGCCAUUAGUGGUUUUGGACGGCUUUGUCCCAAUUCCCGGACACUUCUAUGAAACUUUGUAGAAGCACCUAUGGCAGCGAUUACAGCUUUGAGUCGUCUUGUCUGUAUCAGCAUUGCACAUCUGGAUUUGGGGAUUUUCUCUCAUUCUUCCUUGCAGAUUUUCUCAUGCUCUGUUAAGUUAGAUGGGGAGCGGCAGUGAACAGCAAUCUUCAAGUCACUGCAGAUCAUCACCAAAUUUCACAGUGGGUGUGAGACCUGGAGAGGCCUACAAGCCACAGUGCCAGGUCAAUCAAGGUGUGGAUAGAGGACCACCAGAUCAAGACCCUGUCAUGGCCAGCCCAAUCUCCAGACCUGAACCCCAUUGAAAACCUCUAGAAUGUGAUCAAGAGGAAGAUGAAUGGUCACAAGCCAUCAAACAAAGCCAAGCUACUUACAUUUUUGCUCCAGAAGUGGCAUACAAUUGGAAAAUCUGAACAUCGCUCCCCAUGAUAGCUGUCUUUCGGAACGUGUUCCCACCUAUAAAUACCUUGGAGUUUGGUUAGAUGAUCAUCUCUUUUAAAACUCGUAACUGAGAUGGCAAAGAAGCUGUGUCAUCAGAGCACAGAACGUAAAUUGUACAGGCCACUUAUGUCAGUGCUUGAUUAUGGUGAUGUUUUAUAUAUGCAUGGAUCAGCAUCAGUACUGAAGACAUUGGAUGCAGCGUUGCGCUUUGUUACUUUUGCACACAACAUUGCCUUUUAUACACUUUGGCUGGCUGGGACUCCCUGACUUUUAGAAGGACCAGAUACUGGUUGAUAUUUGUCUAUAAAGCUGUCUUACAGAAACUUCCUAAUUAUCUUAACUCAACAAUCCAGUGGUCAAACAGAAUUUAUCAGACUCGGUCACAGGACAUGCUAGUGCUAGAGAUGCCCCAGAUUCACUCUGAGUUAGGCAAAACGGCAUUUCAAUAUCAUGCUCCACACUCAUGGAAUGAAUUGCAGAGAGAACUCCAGUUAGAUGUUUUGGUGCCUGUAAGACAGUUUAAAUGCACAUUACAUUAACUUUUUAGUAUAAACUGUGAUUUCUUUUUGUAAUGUGUUUUUCUUAUAGAAGUGUAUUUAUUUAAAUAGUUUUCAUCUCCGUCUUGUUACGGCUGUUAAAGGAAGAGGACCAAAGCGCAGCGUGGUUGGCGUACAUUUUCCUUUAUUGAAUAAAAAUGACGCCGAACAAAACAAUAAACACUACAAAACAGCUAAAGGCUAUGUGCCCUAAACAAAGUCAACUUUCCACAAAGACAGGUGGGAAAAGGGCUACCUAAGUAUGUUUCUCAAUCAGAGACAACGAUGGACAGCUGCCUCUGAUUGAGAACCACACCCUGCCAAACACAAAGAAAUAGAAACAUAGAAAUAAAGAAACUAGAAUGCCCACCCUAGUCACACCCUGGCCUAACCAAAAUAGAGAAUAAAAGCCUCUCUAGGGUGUGACACUUGUACUUUUUAUAUAUUUUCAUUUUGUUUGGUUUCAAAUUCAUAUUAAUUGCUGUGUUUGUAUUGUUGUAUCACAGGGCACAACUGUAAAAGAGACUGUCUCAGCUUGUUUCUCCUGUUUUAAUAAAGAUUAAUAAAAGAAAGUCACCCAACAUCAAUGUGAAAAACUGAUGGAGAGCAUGCCAAGACACAUGAAAUCAGGGUUAUUCUACCAAAUAUUGAUUUCUGAACUCUUCCUAAGUUAAAACAUUAGUAUUGUGUUGUUAAAAAUGAAUAUGAACUUAAUUUCUUUGCAUUAUUCGAGGUCUGACAACACUGCAUCUGUCAUUUUCUGCAAAUAAAAUGCUCUAAAUGACAAUAUUUUUAUUUGGAUUUUGGGAAAAAUGUUGUCAGUAGUUUAUAGAAUAAAACAAAAAUGUUAAUUUUACCCAAACACAUACCUAUAAAUAGUAAAACCAGAGAAACGGAUCAUUUUGAAGAUAUUCC